Molecule: long non-coding RNA, 1559 nt
Organism: Vespa crabro (European hornet)
Lineage: Eukaryota; Metazoa; Arthropoda; Insecta; Hymenoptera; Vespidae
Exons: 2
Source: RefSeq, a predicted model, not a curated record
CGUUUAUAUUUGCUGUUGAUGUAAACGUUGUUUUCGACAUUUUUGUGACAAUUUGGAGGCAAAAAAGAAAAAGCUAUCCCCACCACUGAUUUUCAACACAUUUGUAAACACUAGAGUGGCGCGUGGUUUGUUUCCACGAAAUAGACGAUUGUUUUUUUGUUUAUAUUUUCCUUUUGUAUAUAACAAAAACAAAUAAAUGUUUAACUAAUUUCGAUCUUUUUUUAUCUUUUUUUGCAUUCCAAUGAGGAAGCAUUGGAGUUCUUUGUUUCUAAUCGUCUUAAAUUAAGCAGUUCAUAAUUCUGGUAAUUUUAUAAUUGUUUAAACAUUUCUAAUUUCUUUUGGGUGGGAUCCUUGGGCGAGACAUUUUCAGUAAAAACAAAUCGAACUCGAUUUAGGGAUCGAUUUAUCAUCGAGAGGCCGGUCUUUCUUUGAGGGAUCAAUUUCUCAUCGGAGAACCCAUUUCUCGGAAUAAGGGAUCAAUUUAUCAUCGUUAGACCGAUUCAUCAGCGAGGAUUCGGUAAAUCAGCAUGGGUUCGAUUUAUUAUUAAUAGUUCAUUUCAUCAUUGAGAGAUUUAGAUUUUUACAUGGUAGUUUUGAAAUCUUUCUACAUUAAAUAAGAUUCUUAGGUUAUGCAUAGAAGGGUAUAACCUAACAAGUUUAUACAUUGAUAUAAUAGGCAUAUAGUGGGAAGUAGUUAUCUUAUUGCGCUUAUAGUUCAUAUUUUAUCCAUAUCUAUCGCUGAAGUCGCAUACACUAGAAGCGACAGUUAGUGGAAAAUCUUAAUUGUUUUAAUCAAUUUAGUUGGUAUUAUUUAAUAUUGAUUUAAUAUUUAAAUUAAAAAGUUUUAUUUCUUGUUUUUUAAAUUUGUUUAAAAUAAAUAUUAAAAUUAUAUCUAAAAAAUAAAUUUUACAAUUAUUUAAUUAAAUAAAACCGAUCUUUAUCAGUGUAUAUCGCAUGUCUUAUAAAAAGUUACAGAUAUUAGAUCACUUGUAAAAAUAUAUUUUAUAAAACGUUACUUUAUAACUCAUUUUAUUUUUUCGAUCAUUUUUACAAUUUUAUUUGCACAAAAUAAAUUGAAGAAGUUAAAAAGUUACGGCUCUUCGUUACAUUUCGCUCGAAGUAUGUGACUUCAGGAACAUUACAAAAUAUGAAUUACGAAAUAUGAAUUACAAGCGCAAGCGGGAAACAGUCGCCGCUAUGAGUCUAUCGUAUCAGUCUAUAAGUUUGUCAAGUUAUAUCCCACUCGUACGUAACAUAACAAUUGAAUUAGUAUGAGUUAGAAUAGAAAGUAGGUUCGAACUCAACUUUUCAUUUUUUCACAUUUAUAUCCUUUAAUAAUGGCAUGUCUAUUGCAGUAAUCCGUGAUAGAUACGAUGCAGCACUGGUACGCAUUUAUUGUACGAUAUAAAUACAUAAAAGAUAAUAAAUAUAAUUAAUAUGAAAAUUAGUGAAAUCACAAAAAAAAACAAUGCUGAAAAUCUUACUUAAUAGAAUGUGUGGAAAUGAACUAAUGUUUUGAAUAAUAUAUAAUUGUAUAAAUAAUAUAUAAUAUAUAAAUA